Long non-coding RNA from Lagenorhynchus albirostris (white-beaked dolphin), 206 nucleotides. RefSeq lists it as uncharacterized. NCBI's taxonomy places the organism in Eukaryota, Metazoa, Chordata, Mammalia, Artiodactyla, Delphinidae. The record is from RefSeq and is a predicted model, not a curated record. The transcript is spliced from 3 exons.
UACUACAAGGAGCAGAAGUGAAAAUGGAACUUGAUAUGAUUGAUAAAACAUCAGAGGAUCUUGUCUAUAGGGAAGUCAAGGAGGAGAAAGAUCCUUUUUUCUCCCUUUCUUUUAUUCCUCAAAUCUAGAAUUCAGAGCCAUAUUUGAAAAUGAAAGCAGAGGUGACAGUGUACAUAUAAUGGCUACAUAGAAAAUAUACUUAAGCU